UCUCUCUCCUCUUUCUCUCUCACGGCUGCUUUGGGAUCUCUCCAGUUGCAGCAACCUGCUUUGGGAUCUCACCAUAGUAUCUAGAUCUGCUACUCUCUUGUUUCCUAGGGUUUUGGAUCUAUUUUCUGCACUUUGCAAGGUUUUUUGACUGAUUAUGGUGGGGAUUUACUAGAUAUAGAACUAGGGUUUGGAUUUCAGAAAAUUCAAGUGAGAAGAUGCUUUUUCUUUUUCCAUUUUUCAUCUGUGGAUUUCUUGUGUAUUUUUCAGGACUUUCUCCUCUCGUGAGCUGAGAGAGUAAAAAGACAGAUCAGGAUCUCAUUCCACGCUCUUCCAUCUCCAAUUUAAGGUACUGCCCUUUUCCAACUCACUCACUCAUUUCAAAACCCUAGAUUUCUACUCCUAUUUCUCCAAAUUUCUUCCAAUAUCCCGACUUCCCGACGAGAUUCGACGAUGUUGCUUUGGAUUUUGGUUUCGCUUUCCAGAUUCCUACAAUUCUCUCCCCUUGAUCUGAUUUUUCAAUAAACCUGCGUUUGCAACUGAAUGGUUUUCGGUAGCAGUGGAUCCAGCUCGGCGAUCCAUGCCAUUUAUCCGAUGGGCCGCACUCUUGGAUGGGGAUGCCUAGAAAGCUCUUGGAUUGGAAGAUCUUGACCUUUUAACCGUUGUAAUGUUUUCUGUUGGAUGUGGACUGUUGCUGUACUCUCUGCUUCACAAUCCAUUCAAAGGCCAUUUGUCAGAGGUUCAGGAUCUUCCAAUCUGGCUGAUUCUUGUUUCUCAAGAGUCUGCUUUCUGCAUUUGGGGCCUUGCCCCUGUCUUGACUCUUGAGUUCUCUUAUAAAGAAGUGUGUAGGUCCUGCUGUAUAUUCUCUGCUAUACACAGCCAUGGGCUGUGUGUGGAGUUUGAGGAUGUUUCAUUUACAUCUGCAAAACCAAGACAAUAAUUACCCUCUUAACUGUAUUUUUCUCUAUAAGAAUUAACCAAAAAUGAAGAAAUGUCUCCAAAGCUUCCAGGUAGAAAUAUAAGUCUAAUGCAUAUUUGCAUUAACUCAAUACAACUCUAGUAUUAUUUCACCACUCAAACUGAAAGCUUGUAGUAAAAAAUGACAUGAAAAACGCUUAUGAAAACCAAAUCACAUCCCAUGUUCAUACAGCUAAUGCAUAAAAAAUCCCCUGUUAUACAUGCAAUUUUGCAAUCCAAGAGCGCUGCAAAUUGAUGGUCACAAUUCUUUCUCGAUGAUUUGUGGUGCAGAUUCCUACCUCUUCUCGUCUGUACUCAUACAGCUCGUACAAGUGAAGACAUGCACAAGGAAGACAUACCUGCAUUAUAUGAACCUUGGACGAUAGAUCUCUGCAUUCUUCAAUAAGUGCUCUUUCCCUGGCAACUACCCUGACAAGUUCUGAAAUCACAUGAUCCACUCCUACUGCCUGUGUUCAUAGAAACUCUAAGUCGAAAUAGAUAUCCAAGCCAACCCAAAAUAGUUGGGACAAGGCUACGGUGAUGGGUUCAAAAUAGAUCCCCAACUGCCCAAAUAGAAAAAGGUAGCUGAGGUUUCAUUAGAAUUAAGAUAUUCCAUAAGAUAUUGCACUGCAACAUAUGCACGUUUCUAAUUUCCUGCAAGUUGCAAACAAAUUACCAUUCUAAGCUUUCUGCAGAAUAGUUUUUUUUCUCCAAGGUAUGUACAUUAAGUAGAACAUAAUACCAGUUAUGAACAAAUUACUAAUGCAAGCUUACCUGCAUGAUAGCUUUUCCAAGAUUCCUUAGAAAGAAAGAGAUGGAGAACAUUUCACAUGUAUAGAGGAACUAACUGUUGUCUAGAAUCAACCGGACUAGCAUGUGCAAUCUUAGAACAAGGUCAAGGUUGGGUUAAAAUUUAAUUCUUGUUUGGAGUUAGAAUACAAGACAGCUUUGCAUGUUGCAGACUCUAGAAAUCAGAGUUUUUUUUUUUUUUGAAAUGUCACAACAUAAAAAUUGUAUCAAGGGCUUAGAUGAAGCUAUGGCCCUUGAUAGAGUGGAAUGGCGGAACAUGAUUCAUGUAGCCAACACCAAUUAAUCGAGAGGCUUAGCUGAUGCUGAUGAUGAUGAAAGGAUAGGAAGUGUCACAAUAAGUGAAAUAUCAUGUUUGACAAAUUGAGUACAAGUGAGGAUCUUUUCUUUCAAUGCCAUCCAGAUGGAAGCCAGGGCUGUAGGCAAUGAAUCAGAACUCCAUAAUCAAUAUAUUUGAGAAGUGCCAUGAUUGCAAGUGGAAAGAAGAAAAUUAAAUGAUUUGUUGGAAAAGUCCUGUUAGAUACCAAGGGCAAGACAGCAUCAUGUUGGCCAUCAAGACAUCAGACAAACAGACUCCAUAUCUCAUUAGAAAAUCAAGAAGCCACUCAAAGAAUAACCAGAGAUAGCCUCACAAUCUAUUGCAGACCAAAUUGCUCAUGCAUCGAAUCCAUUUAGACAGUAACAAACCCUGGCCGCAAGAUCCACAUGCCUUUAGACAUCGAAUCUAUUUAGAAGCAACUUAGCCAGCUGCCCCCAAGAUCAUCAACCCCAUUCUCCUUUAUAUCCAGCUCAGUCAAAUUCCUGUAACCCAUAUCAAAUUUCAGGAUCUUUGACAAACAGCGUAACUAGCAAAAAUCUACUGUGGGACAAUGUUAACCUUCCAUUUGUGGCCUUUGGUAAUGACAAAUUUUUAAGUGAAAAAUAAUCCACAAUCUAUGUAAAUCAUGGUGGCCCUAGAAGCAAACCCUUGGUUGACAUCCCAUCUCCAUUCUUCCCUAUGGUGUGGCCCACCUGAGUUGUGGAUUAUGAGUAUAUUAAUGUGUAUUUUGUAUUGGAUUGUACUUGCCUGCAAAUAGUACCUUUCAAAAUGUAGCAUAUCAUAAUAUGGUAGCUUGUAUUCUAUAUCUUUCAUUCAAAUGCCUGUAUCUCACUUUUGUUGUCACCUUUUCUAAUUUGGGAUCUACCUUAACUGUUGUUUCCAAAUUCAAAAUGCAAGGGGUACUUCCACAACCAACUGAAGCCGUCAAAGCUUUCCUGGACCGUGAUGUAAAGUCAGCAGCAAUGGUGGAUACUCACAAUCUCAAGGAGUUUUAUCUGUUUUUGUCUCUUAUGCAUUCAUGCAAAUUUGAUUAAUUUACAGUUUAUAGCUUAGUAGAAUUGGCCAUUCAAAGUGGACCUGAAAUAAAGCAGGUAUCUUUAAGGUAAGUUUUCUUAUUUAUUGUUUUUUAGUUGUUUGAGAAUUAGUAACAACGUUUACUAUGGUUGAUAUUUCUGUUAGGUUGAUACUCAUUUUUAGGAUUUGUAUUAUGCUCAUGAGUUUCUUCUCUUUUGAGUCGUCUAUUGAGAAUUCAUGUUCAAAAUACACCGUAGUAGUGUCCAAGCAUUUAUUUUGAAAGAAAUAUUAAGAAGUGGCAGCAAUUAUCUGUCAAAAGCAGAAUUAAUGGAAGCUGUGUCAAGGCUUGGGCUAAAGAGGACCUUCUCGAGGAACAAAAUCACGAGUUGGCCACCUAAUGACCAGUAUUACUUUGCCUAUGGGAUAGAUUGGACCAUUUGAAUGAGGAGCCACUUUAGAACAGGAUGAAAAUAGCAAUUGCCUCAUGUGAAAUCAAAUAUUUUGAUUCUCAGGUUUUGAGUAGGACUUGAGCGUCGCAAAGUCAAUAGCAGAGGAAGCCCGGGUAAAUGUAUCUUAAGCCCUUUUUUAACUCCACCAAUGCUUUCAGCUUCUUAACCAAAGUUCCGCACUCUGCAGAUUUGGGCACUGUAUGCAAAUGAUUUGAAGACUUAAGUUAAUGUGCAGGGAGAAAAUGAAUCUGUUCCUAGCGAGCAAUUGCUAGGUUCGGAGGAUGGGAAAAGAUCUUAUACAUUGUUUCAGGGUCAUGCUGGGCCUGUUUAUUCAACUACAUUUAGUCCUCUUGGGGACUUUAUUCUGUCUUCUUCUUUGGACUCAACAGGUA
This is a long non-coding RNA of Magnolia sinica, 3935 nucleotides long. RefSeq lists it as uncharacterized. The record is from RefSeq and is a predicted model, not a curated record. Lineage: Eukaryota; Viridiplantae; Streptophyta; Magnoliopsida; Magnoliales; Magnoliaceae. The transcript has 6 exons.